CCUUCGGGGUUAGUGGCGGACGGGUGAGUAACACGUGGGAACGUGCCUUUUGGUUCGGAAUAGCUCCUGGAAACGGGUGGUAAUGCCGAAUGUGCCCUUCGGGGGAAAGAUUUAUCGCCAUUAGAGCGGCCCGCGUCUGAUUAGCUAGUUGGUAAGGUAAUGGCUUACCAAGGCGACGAUCAGUAGCUGGUCUGAGAGGAUGACCAGCCACAUUGGGACUGAGACACGGCCCAAACUCCUACGGGAGGCAGCAGUGGGGAAUCUUGCGCAAUGGGCGAAAGCCUGACGCAGCCAUGCCGCGUGAAUGAUGAAGGUCUUAGGAUUGUAAAAUUCUUUCACCGGGGACGAUAAUGACGGUACCCGGAGAAGAAGCCCCGGCUAACUUCGUGCCAGCAGCCGCGGUAAUACGAAGGGGGCUAGCGUUGCUCGGAAUUACUGGGCGUAAAGGGCGCGUAGGCGGACAUUUAAGUCAGGGGUGAAAUCCCAGAGCUCAACUCUGGAACUGCCUUUGAUACUGGGUGUCUUGAGUGUGAGAGAGGUAUGUGGAACUCCGAGUGUAGAGGUGAAAUUCGUAGAUAUUCGGAAGAACACCAGUGGCGAAGGCGACAUACUGGCUCAUUACUGACGCUGAGGCGCGAAAGCGUGGGGAGCAAACAGGAUUAGAUACCCUGGUAGUCCACGCCGUAAACGAUGAUUGCUAGUUGUCGGGCUGCAUGCAGUUCGGUGACGCAGCUAACGCAUUAAGCAAUCCGCCUGGG
Molecule: ribosomal RNA, 758 nt
Filed under: Brevundimonas bullata
Lineage: Bacteria; Pseudomonadati; Pseudomonadota; Alphaproteobacteria; Caulobacterales; Caulobacteraceae
Description: bacterial SSU rRNA
Rfam family: Bacterial small subunit ribosomal RNA
Source: RNAcentral